Molecule: long non-coding RNA, 1348 nt
Filed under: Solanum tuberosum (potato)
Lineage: Eukaryota; Viridiplantae; Streptophyta; Magnoliopsida; Solanales; Solanaceae
Description: long non-coding RNA (STUB_LNC007778)
Source: RNAcentral
CAAUUUCAAGAAUUUUGAGAACGAACAGCUUAGAUCAUUUCUAUGUGCACGUUUGCAAAAUAAAUUUCAAAUUUGCUUAACAAAUCCACGUAAUACAAGUACUCAUUUCGAGAAGUUGAAGAAUGAACUGCCCUAAUCUUUUCUAUGGUCAAAUUUGCUCUAAAGAUCAAAUCUUAGCUUAACAGAUUCAUGUAACACAAGUAACCAUUUCAAGAAUUUUGAGAAUUUCGAGAAUAAACAGCGGUACUCUUUUAGUUAAAUGGUCAUGUUUACCCUAAAAAUCAAACCUUUUUUUAACUAAUUCACAUAACACAAGAACUUAAUCAAACCUUUUCUUCACAAAUCCAUUCACACAAGUACCCAUUUCAAGAAUUUGGAGAAUGAACUGCUAUAAUCUCUUCCUAUUGUCAUGUUUGUCCUAAAGAUCAAACCUUUUCUCUAGAAACCCCACAUAACACAAGUACCCAUUUCGAUAAUUUGGACAAUGAACUGUAAUAAUCUUUUCGAUUGUCACAUUUGGCCUACAAAAAUCAAACCUUUUCUUCACUAAAUCCACUCACACAAGUACCCAUUUCAAGAAUUUGGAGAAGGAACUGCAGUAAUCUCUUCCUAUGGUCAUAUUUGUCCUAAAGAUCAAACCUUUUCUCUAAUAAAACCCACAUAACACAAGUACACAUUUCGAUAAUUUGGACAAUAAACUGCUGUUAUCUUUUCUAUAGUCAUUUUUGCUAAAGAAAAUUAAACCUUUUCUUCACUAAAUCCACUCACUCAAGUACCCAUUUCAAGAAUUUGGAGAAUGAACUGUUGCAAUCUCUUCCAAUGGUCAUAUUUUUCCUAUAGAUCCAACCUAUGCUUAAAAACCCAACAUAACACAAGUACCCAUUUUCGAUAAUUCGGACAAUAAACAGCUGUUAUCUUUUCUGUGGUCAUUUUUGCCAAAAAAACUAAUCCUUUUCUUCACUAAAUCCACUCACACAAGAACCCAUUUCAAGAAUUUGGAGACUGAACUGCUGUAAUCUCUUCCUAUGGUCAUAUUUGUCCUAAAGAUCAAACCUUUGCUUAAAAACCCAACAUAACACAACUACCCAUUUUCAACAAUUUGGACAAUAAACUGCUGUUAUCUUUUCUAUAGUCAUUUUUGCCAUAAAAAUUAAAUAUUUGCUUAACCAACCCACUUUACAGAAUCACAGAAGCCUUAAAAGAAAUGUCAGGUUAUAAAAAUACUAUUCUAUAACAUCAAGAAAUGCAGUAAUAUGUGUGAACAUGACAGAAGAACUCUAGUAAACAUAGUUGCAGCUACUAGUAUAAAGAAUUUAAUAUAAAUUCUCAAGUGAGAGAAAUUGCUAAC